RNAcentral lists this long non-coding RNA (494 nucleotides) under Elaeis guineensis (African oil palm). RNAcentral's name for it is "long non-coding RNA (EGUI_LNC055042)". Lineage: Eukaryota; Viridiplantae; Streptophyta; Magnoliopsida; Arecales; Arecaceae. The record is from RNAcentral.
CAUAUCUGAUUUAGUCCAAGCUUGUAUUAAAAUAGUUUUGUAGUUCUUUUGAUCAGUUCAGCAACAUUAUGAUUCUUGAAUUUGGAAAGUAGCUAGGAUUGUAUUUGGUUUCUUGAAGUAUUGGCUUGUUUUAAGAAUUCACAUUUUUGUUUUCCAGAAUUCAUAGAGGAAGAUUUAAAAGAUAUUUUACUGUUCUAGAGAGUGGGAGGCCACAUGAAUUUCAUCUGUUUCUGCUUUUCUUGAACAUCACUUUUGUGUCAUCAUAUCAUGCCUUAUUUCUUCCAUUCUGCUCUUCAUGAUAAUGUUCUACUUGUGCUAUCGCUAUGUUCUCCUAAUUUUGUUUUGGUACCACCAUUGCAUGAUUUUGCCAAAUAUAUUUUUUAAAUUUUUGAGGCGUUCUUGAUGUUGUCGAAGGUGCUAGUCUCAUAUGCCCUUCAUCAAUUCUUGCCUAUUUCUUUGGACCUAUUUUUCAGGUGUAUUAAUUUUUCUUCUUU